CAUUUAUUUGCGUUCGUGGCGGGAAACUCCGAGUGCCGAGUGUCAUAUGAACUUUCACCUUCUGGUUUCAUUCCGUAGUUUUCAUCUUGAUUUAACAGUUAAUCAGACGGUUUGAGUUACAAAGUUUCAACAUUCAUACUGUUUUUCUCUCCAGUCAGGUGUGCAGUCCGGCUCUUCUCGCCAAGAAGUGACAUGUACGAAGGCUAUAAAGCUGGAGGAGACGGACAGGGCUGGAGGAGCAGGACUGAUGGAGGUGAGUGAUCCAGAAGAAAGCGAGAUAAAGUUGUUUAAGCUUCCAGUACAGCUUAAUACUGAAUUUGUUGGAAUGUUCUUCCCUUAAUAUAUCCUCAUUCAUGAAAAUCAUUGAAAAAAGUGUAAAAUGUCACUAUGACUAUUCAAUUCUGUCAACUCGUUUACUAAAGAAAUAAAUAAAACACUAUUUCCGAUUGCAGCAUCUGAGACUGUACCUGUAGUCUAUAGUCUGUGUACACUGUAAAAAGUGGGACUGGGGUUAAUUAAUAGUUACUAAAUAACUAAUAGUAACCUCUGCAUAAUAAAAAGACUAUGUUCAGUUAGAAAUCAAACUGAGUUGCAUCCAGUAAAUUUGAAUGAUUUAUUAAUUGCAUUUUACGCAGUUUUGGUUGAAUGAAAUUAGCUGUGAACUUACUUAUGUUUGAUCACGAACAACAAUGAUGCAGAAAAUUGAUAGAUUUUUCUCAUUGGGAGGUCUUUGGUUUUAAUCACCUCACACUUUCGCCCAAAGCAUUUUGCUUUUAAAAUAAACUUUAAUCAGAAAUCGUGAUGAAUUGAAACAAUGCUGUUGGUUAUUUUCUAUUUUAUUUAUUUACAAAAGUCAUUACACUUCAAGAUUAUGGUAAAAUAGGAAUUUUGUCAUACACACACACACACACACAGAAAUGAAUUGUGGACUUUGGACAUUAGCAAGAUAAACUAGCAAAGUGAAAAAGAUAAGCAUGAACUACAAAGGCAACAUUGAUUUCAGGUUGACUUUAAACAUAGUUUAAGUCUCAUAAAUAAAAGUAGUACAGAGAGUUAUUGCAGUUAUAUAAUUUCGGUGAAUACUUUCUCUUAAGGAGUCCUGUGUGGCUGCAGACAGAGAGUCUCCUUCACAGAAAGUAUUUAUCAAAAUGACAUAUUUUCUAUGGUAGCUUAGGGUGCUUAUACUUCUAAAACUUACGUAAUUUAAAAGCAACUCAAGUACAAAUGUUUACUGAAUACCUUUACACAGGUAAUAUUUAACCAAGAGCAUUUCUGUUUUCACUCGAGUUACUAACACCUGUUUUACACAACAACUAAGAAGUUGUGCACUUUGUCCACCCUGCUCCUCGCUGACCACCUACUCCAGAAGAAACCAGAAAAAAUAUCUCUAAGCCAUCCAUCCAUCUGCUGCUUCUGGUUUUCGACUGAUCAGGAAUUGUCCCAGGUACUGUAAUUUAUAGUAUCUUUAUUGUAUUGCUCUUUGUAAUAUUAGUACAUAUUAUGCUAAAUAUUUUAUUACAUCUUUUAGCACAAGACUUUGCCAAUAUUAUGUCUUUUAACAUGAAUUUGACUCACCUGCUCUGCUUUUUGCUUUACUUUGCAAAACUGUUGUAUGAAAACAACAGGACUUUGAAGGUUGUGUGCUAUUGUGAAAGACAUGGUACAAUUAUAUUCACACUAACCUGCUCUUUCUUGCAUUGCUUUGCAUAUACCUUUGUUUUUCUUGUUGUUACUUUGUAGAUUUAUUUUGAUACUGUUUACUGUCUGUUCAGGAUCUUUAUCCUUGUUUUGUAUGGUUAGUGUUUGUUACUAAUUUUGCUCACCUAUUUCUUCAUUUUACACCAGAGACCUUCACAUCUGUUAAGAGCUGAGUAUAUUUAGCAGGUAGGAUUCAGAUGUUCAUUCACUUGCUGUCUCUCUCUCUCCCAAACAUACCCUAGGUAUAUAAUCACUGGCUAUUUUUACAGUACUUCUGACUUAUAGACAGGAGUCCAUUUGUUUCUUUGUACACAUUGCCCCCCCCCCUUUUUUUCCUUUUUACCACAGGCAGGGCCACCACAGAGGAUUCAUGAAACAUUCUCAGCACUGUAGCAACACUGAUAUGGUGCUGGUGUGUUAAUGUGUGUUGCGCUGGUAUGAGUGGAUCAGACACAGCAGUGCUGCUGGAGUUUUUAAACCCUGUGUCCACUCACUGUCCACUCUAUUAGACACUCCUACCUUGUCAGUCCACCUUGUAGAAGUCAGAGACGAUAGCUCAUCUGCUGCUGCACAGUUUGUGUUGGUCAUCCUCUAGUCCUUCAUCAGUGGGCUAUUCUCGGUCCAGCAGUGACAUUGAGGUGAUUAAAACAUUGCUGUAUCUGAUACAGUACCACACUUACUAUGUCAGUGUCACUGCAGUGCUGAGAAUGAACCAAUAAUACCUGUUUUGUGGUGGUCUGGGUGGGUCCUGAUCGUUGAUGAAUGAUGUGAAAGGGGGCUAAAAAGGUAUGCAGAGAAAAA
This is a long non-coding RNA of Colossoma macropomum (tambaqui), 2499 nucleotides long. RefSeq lists it as uncharacterized. The transcript is spliced from 2 exons. Lineage: Eukaryota; Metazoa; Chordata; Actinopteri; Characiformes; Serrasalmidae. The record is from RefSeq and is a predicted model, not a curated record.